GAUGCUGCCUGACAGGCAUCGAACUGGAUACUUCUCCAUGCAGGGGCAAAAAGGCUGCUGUCGAGGUCCUGGGAAGACAUCUCCAUCAAGUACAUGUGCUUCCAGCCCAGCAGCUGGCGGGUCUCAUGAGCCUGCCUGGCCAAGAGGCCUGUGAGACUGGAGCAGGUGGCCAUGGCUGUGACCUUCCACACUCAUGGUUCCAGCCAAGGUACCACUGGAAAUGGCACCAGGAAAGACCUUCAAAAGAAGGGUUUUUUUUUUUUUUCCCCUCCUCUCCUCCACGAAUAGGUGAAUGAAGAGACUUCCUGACAUGGCUGAAAUAAAAAAUUAUAGCUCUUCAUUUUUGACUGAUUGUAGAUGUAACAAUUCUCCAUUGGAAAAGUUUCAGAAAACAGAAAAGUAUAAACUGAAGAAAAUUUAAUUACUUAAUAAAAUUAGAACUGCAAUUCAGAAUGAGCCUAAUUUACCUUUGAUUUUUUUCCCAUCUUUUUAUCCUGAACAUUAUGAUGCCAUGAUUUAUUUCAAAAUUUCAGAUGGUAUUUUUAGUGAAUCAUGCUUUUUAAUUAUAAAAAUGUUUCCUUGAAGUAAAAAAUUUUGGUUAAAAAAAUCAAACAACAAAACAAACUAGGAAAAAUUCUUUGUGAAGAAUAUAGAGGUUUUUUCUGGAGUUCUUCUUUCUGUGUGUUUUGUUGAGUUUGCCUUGUGUUUAUAGUUUUAUAUCUCUUUUCCUUGCUUGACUCUAUUACUGCACACAUAAGUUUUGCCAUAGAUUGUCAGAAUUUUAAGAGAAACGAUGCUAGGCCGGGCACAGUGGCUCAAUCCUAUAAUCCCAGCACUUUGGGAGUCUGAGGAGGGCGGAUCACUUGAGGUCAGGAGUUCAAGACCAGCCUGGCCAACAUGACCCUGUCUCUACUGAAAAUACAAAAAUUAGUGGGGUGUGGUGGCAGGUGCCUAUAAUCGCAGCUACUUGGGAGGUUGAAGCAGGAGAAUAGCUUGAAACCAGGAGGCAGAGGUUGCAGUGAGCUGAGAUUGCACCACUGUGCUCUGGGGUGACAGGGUGAGACUCCUUCUCAGAAAAAAAAAAAAGAGAGAAACAAUGCCAGGUGGCUGCUCUCUUUGCACAUCUGGAUGAAGACCCAGAGGCUGAG
RNAcentral lists this long non-coding RNA (1148 nucleotides) under Macaca mulatta (Rhesus monkey). Its description in RNAcentral is "lncRNA (ENSMMUG00000060581.1)". Lineage: Eukaryota; Metazoa; Chordata; Mammalia; Primates; Cercopithecidae. The record is from RNAcentral.